This 290-nucleotide long non-coding RNA is filed under the name Phoenix dactylifera (date palm). RNAcentral's name for it is "long non-coding RNA (PDAC_LNC010613)". Lineage: Eukaryota; Viridiplantae; Streptophyta; Magnoliopsida; Arecales; Arecaceae. The record is from RNAcentral.
CAUAUGACAGACGAUGGGGUUUGACGAGUUGUCCAUGACCUCCGUCCUGUAGGGAUCCACGAUAGUAGGAUUGUAUCACACGUUAACUGCACCUAGAGGUUCAUCAUUCUAUUCUUCUGGGUAGCCACUACAUGCUGCUAGGUGUCACUGGUGGAUGGUGGGACUCACAGGGAUUAUCUCGAUGAUCGAUUAACCCUAAUGAGUUUGAGUUGGAAUCGUUCCAACCCAUUGAAAGGAGUUUUCAAUGAUAUUGUGAUAGAGAUCGCAAUAUAUCUCACUACCAGUCAGAA